AUGAUUCGUUUGGGUCUAAUUGUAUUGCUGUCCUGGGGCUCUGUGGGGUGUGUUUGUGAACAGAGCCCCAGGACCAGCUUGCUUAGGGGACUCUUCUCCAGGUUAAUCUCUCUGUAGGGUGUGUUUGUGAACAGAGCCCCAGGACCAGCUUGCUUAGGGGACUCUUCUCCAGGUUCAUCUCUCUGUAGGGUGUGUUUGUGAACAGAGCCCCAGGACCAGCUUGCUUAGGGGACUCUUCUCCAGGUUCAUCUCUCUGUAGGGUGUGUUUGUGAACAGAGCCCCAGGACCAGCUUGCUUAGGGGACUCUUCUCCAGGUUCAUCUCUCUGUAGGGUGUGUUUGUGAACAGAGCCCCAGGACCAGCUUGCUUAGGGGACUCUUCUCCAGGUUCAUCUCUCUGUAGGGUGUGUUUGUGAACAGAGCCCCAGGACCAGCUUGCUUAGGGGACUCUUCUCCAGGUUCAUCUCUCUGUA
Molecule: long non-coding RNA, 471 nt
Organism: Oncorhynchus keta (chum salmon)
Lineage: Eukaryota; Metazoa; Chordata; Actinopteri; Salmoniformes; Salmonidae
Exons: 3
Source: RefSeq, a predicted model, not a curated record